ACGCUGGCGGCAGGCCUAACACAUGCAAGUCGAGCGGUAGAGAGAAGCUUGCUUCUCUUGAGAGCGGCGGACGGGUGAGUAAUGCCUAGGAAUCUGCCUGGUAGUGGGGGAUAACGUUCGGAAACGGACGCUAAUACCGCAUACGUCCUACGGGAGAAAGCAGGGGACCUUCGGGCCUUGCGCUAUCAGAUGAGCCUAGGUCGGAUUAGCUAGUUGGUGAGGUAAUGGCUCACCAAGGCGACGAUCCGUAACUGGUCUGAGAGGAUGAUCAGUCACACUGGAACUGAGACACGGUCCAGACUCCUACGGGAGGCAGCAGUGGGGAAUAUUGGACAAUGGGCGAAAGCCUGAUCCAGCCAUGCCGCGUGUGUGAAGAAGGUCUUCGGAUUGUAAAGCACUUUAAGUUGGGAGGAAGGCCAUUAACCUAAUACGUUAGUGUUUUGACGUUACCGACAGAAUAAGCACCGGCUAACUCUGUGCCAGCAGCCGCGGUAAUACAGAGGGUGCAAGCGUUAAUCGGAAUUACUGGGCGUAAAGCGCGCGCAGGUGGUUUGUUAAGUUGGAUGUGAAAUCCCCGGGCUCAACCUGGGAACUGCAUUCAAAACUGACUGACUAGAGUAUGGUAGAGGGUGGUGGAAUUUCCUGUGUAGCGGUGAAAUGCGUAGAUAUAGGAAGGGACACCAGUGGCGAAGGCGACCACCUGGACUAAUACUGACACUGAGGUGCGAAAGCGUGGGGAGCAAAC
Molecule: ribosomal RNA, 745 nt
Filed under: uncultured bacterium
Lineage: Bacteria
Description: bacterial SSU rRNA
Rfam family: Bacterial small subunit ribosomal RNA
Source: RNAcentral